UAAAGCCACAGAAGAGAAAAUCCUGGCUUGAGCAACAAGAUUAGAUUCUCAGUACAUAACACCUAUUGUGUUCUCUUCAAAUCCCACAGAUCAGCCAUCUCAUUGGCAGCCUUGCUGGUUGUUCUCCCUAUACGACUACGGAGAUUGGAUGUGUUAACAAGAAUAUAAAUAAACUCUGGCUGAAAAAGGUCACAGUAGGUGUUCAUUGAUGUCCAGCAGUGUCCAAAGCUCUGUAUCCCAGAAUUCCCUCCACCUGUGUGGACUGAAGGUCCUUCACUCUCUGGGUGAACAGGAGGCUUCAAACAGCUGCUGCAGAGCUUUGAGUGGAUCACUCUCAUCUCUGUCUCCAAGUUCAGCAUCAAACUGAAAAGUGCUUCACACUUCCCAUCUCCUGACAGAGGGCACAUGGAGGAUGCUGGAAUGUGAAAUUAACGUUCCGCUCUGAUAGCUCUGACCCUGAGCUUGCUGUAUUCAGUGCUCCAAAUAUUGACGUACUUAAAAUGUAUCCGAGGCAAUCACCGAUGGGCACCAGUAAGGGGCUGUAAAUGAAUCAUUCAGGCAGCCCAUGGGAAAUUGAACAGAAGCAGUGAUCAGACCAUUCAGAGCUUACCUGCGGAACCAGAAACCAACUGGAAGAGACUUUGCAUUUGGUAUCAUCGAGGAAUGUAUGAUUCAGAAUUUGGUGUUCGUCACAGUGGCUCCUGGAGUUCUCUUCACAAUACUAAUCAAAGGAAAUUGGCCUGCCCUGCAGGGAGUCUGCAGUACUAUAUAGCUUUAGCAUUCUUCUGAGUAUUCAGAGAGUAACAUGACGGCUAUCAAAGCACCGUCAGACAGGGUACACAGAGAAAGCAGCUUGCACACUGUUUGGUGGUAGGUGUGAUAUUAAGUGUCUUGUUUGCUCAGGGAAAUAAAAUGUUCCCAGAAUGAA
This is a long non-coding RNA of Carassius auratus (goldfish), 928 nucleotides long. RefSeq lists it as uncharacterized. NCBI's taxonomy places the organism in Eukaryota, Metazoa, Chordata, Actinopteri, Cypriniformes, Cyprinidae. The transcript is spliced from 3 exons. The record is from RefSeq and is a predicted model, not a curated record.